This 380-nucleotide ribosomal RNA is filed under the name Rhizobium sp. 54R. RNAcentral describes it as "bacterial SSU rRNA". It matches the Rfam family "Bacterial small subunit ribosomal RNA", at positions 966 to 1343 of the family's 1533-position model. The record is from RNAcentral. Lineage: Bacteria; Pseudomonadati; Pseudomonadota; Alphaproteobacteria; Hyphomicrobiales; Rhizobiaceae.
AGGCCUUACCAGCUCUUGACAUUCGGGGUAUGGGCAUUGGAGACGAUGUCCUUCAGUUAGGCUGGCCCCAGAACAGGUGCUGCAUGGCUGUCGUCAGCUCGUGUCGUGAGAUGUUGGGUUAAGUCCCGCAACGAGCGCAACCCUCGCCCUUAGUUGCCAGCAUUUAGUUGGGCACUCUAAGGGGACUGCCGGUGAUAAGCCGAGAGGAAGGUGGGGAUGACGUCAAGUCCUCAUGGCCCUUACGGGCUGGGCUACACACGUGCUACAAUGGUGGUGACAGUGGGCAGCGAGACAGCGAUGUCGAGCUAAUCUCCAAAAGCCAUCUCAGUUCGGAUUGCACUCUGCAACUCGAGUGCAUGAAGUUGGAAUCGCUAGUAAUC